CAGAGGUCGCACAAUAAGAAGUCAAAUGUUGAUUCCAGCCAAAAGUCAUUUCUACACUCUAGCCCUUAGUUUCUCAAAAUGCAAAAUAAAGUCGAGGAUGGAGAGAUCCUUUUAGUCGGACUCUUUGGCCCCGCUAACCUCCGCCAGCAGCCUGGGGAGUCCGCGCCCUCCCGCCAAGAAGGGAAGGGCCAGAAAUCGGCAGUGGCCCGGGGAAAUCGCACGGAGAAGGGAGGAGAGCGUGGGGAAGGCAGUACGGCCUGGUGAGGAGGGGGAAGGGGCACGCGGCGGGUAGAGGUGGAGCGGCUACGGGAGAGGGAGCCUAAAUGCCGGCGAGGAUGGGUGGAGUCAAGGGGAGGGGUGGUCCGCCCCCAGGGCUCGAAGCUCCCAGACGGAGAGGGAGCCAAGCCAAGCCCGGAAUGUCCCUUCAGGGGCGCCGUCCGGGCGGACAAAGGCGGCGCAGAGGCGGAAGCAACUAUGGGUAUGAAAACCAGAUGGAGCAGUUAAGUGGCAGAGUGAAGAGAGUACUUGCCUUGCAGUCAGGAGGACCUGAGUUCAAAUGGGGUUUCAGAUACUUACUAACUGUAUGACCUUGGGCUAUGCUACUGAUUCCUCCAGAAAGCUCUUCGUCCUGGAAGAUCACUGCAGCCCUGGAGGUCAUAUCUCAGAAAUACCCUUAGUCCCUGUGGCCCCUCCCCAUGUUAUGCCACAGUUUCCUUUAAUUGUCCUGCCUCGAUUUCCCUGAACUGUUCUGCCUCAAUUUCCCUAAAAUGUUCUACUUCAGUUUCCCUGAAUUGUUCUGCCUCAGUCCCCCUGGUUGCAACCCUCCUUCCUGACUAUUAGGACUGAUAUAAGUUAGGACCAUCUACUCUAGGGUCAUAAACUGUAAAUAUUUAAUCUCAGAUAAAGGGGAAAUCUUCUAUUUCAGAUAUCCUGGCUCCUAAAUCCUCCUAAGUUAUCAAGAAUCUAUGGUCCUUACUCCCAAUCAGUCAGAACCAAAUUUAUGGUCUGUUCCUGGAAAUUCCCGUUCACCAAUGCCCCAUCCACCCUUGCUUUUAUUUCCCUGAUAACUGGAGUCUUAUAAAAAUCCCUGGAAUUCUUCAUUCACUACUGGAUUCUUUGAGAUGCAAGUCUAAUCCAAUCAAUUAAUCUAAGUUCUCUGAAAAAAUAUUAAAACUCUCUAAUGUCUAUCUUGCCUCAGUUUCUCCGGCAUCACACCCUGAUCCUUUAAGGAGAUUAUCUAUACUAUGGACUUCAUCAUUCCCCCAAACAAAGUAUCUUCCUCCCUAGUUCCCUCAUUUUCUAGUUUCCAAAUUUAUAUCUCAUCUUCCCUCUAUAGGAUGUAAGCUCCUUGAGGGCAGGAACUGUUUCCUUUUACUGAUAUUUCCAAAACUUACCAUAGUACUUGGCCCAUAAAAAAUAUUUGCUGUAUUUUUGCCCGCCUGCAUUUUUUAUUUCCUUCAAAGGCUAACAAUAUUUCGGAGUCCGAUUCUUUUUGUACAGCAAAAUAAUAGUUUGGACAUGUAUAUUUAUUUUGUAUUUAAUUUAUACUCUAAUAUAUUUAAUAUGUAUUGGUCAUCCUGCCAUCUAGGGGAGGGGUCAGGGGAAGGAGGGGAAAAAUUGGAACAAAAGGUUUGGUAAUUGGCAAUGCUGUAAAAUUACCCAUGCAUAUAACUUGUAAAUAAAAAACUAUUGAAAAAACAUUUGUUGACUGAAUAACCCAAUUAAAAAUGGAAUAUAAUGAGCACAGAGUAGUACUUGAAAACUUAUAUGAACUGAUACAAGGUACAAUAAGCAGAGCCAGGAAAAGAAUAUAGACAAUAACUGUAAUAGAAUGGUAUAAAAUUAUAUAAUAGCCAAACUUAGCCCCAAAGAAGAGAUAUGAGAAUGUAUCUCUUCUGACAGGGGAGGGUGGGGAGGCUAUAGGUAUAAAAUACUAUAUUUAAUGGUAGCUUUUAAAAAAAAUAUACAUAUUGAUUUUGCUGAAAUGAUUUUUUCUUCUUUUAAAAUUCUUUGUUGCAAAAGUUUGCUCUCUGGGAAGGGAAAAAGGAAAGGUUUCAUUGGGAUAAAAACAAAAAGUAUCAAUAAAAUUUAUUUUUAA
Molecule: long non-coding RNA, 2098 nt
Organism: Antechinus flavipes (yellow-footed antechinus)
Lineage: Eukaryota; Metazoa; Chordata; Mammalia; Dasyuromorphia; Dasyuridae
Exons: 3
Source: RefSeq, a predicted model, not a curated record